Molecule: long non-coding RNA, 338 nt
Filed under: Pan troglodytes (chimpanzee)
Lineage: Eukaryota; Metazoa; Chordata; Mammalia; Primates; Hominidae
Description: long non-coding RNA NONPTRT001075
Source: RNAcentral
GGCCGUGAGAAGCUCAAGUUCACCAUGAGCCACGCAGUAAGCCAUGCUUUAGCCUCUGACCUGUGCUCCAAUUUUGGUACAAUGAUUUCUGCCAUGUUCUCCAACAGGGUGAGGAAACAGACAGCACUAAGAGAAAAAGCUGGAACUCAAAACCAAAUUAACUCCAAACUUAAGUUUUCCCACUUCGACAAGGAACUGCAUGUGUUUUUCUGCCUCUUGCAGAUGUAUGUCAUAAAAGUUGGAUGCCUUCCUUUUAAGACAUUUGAAUGGAUCACCAAAUAAUUACCUACUUUUCUCUCACAACUCAGAUAAAUAAUUAAAAGGAGAUAUACACAGAU